This 3120-nucleotide long non-coding RNA is filed under the name Marmota monax (woodchuck). The record is from RNAcentral. Lineage: Eukaryota; Metazoa; Chordata; Mammalia; Rodentia; Sciuridae.
GGUAUCACCUGCUAAGAAAUGGUACUUCAGUUCCAGUCUGGCCUUGAAAAACAGAGUGGCUCAGUCCCCUGAGAAUAAAUCCAGUAUAUUUUCCAUUGGCAAGUACAGAAAACAAAGAAGAAAAAAUGUUUCUCCCAUUCAGACAAACUGCACACAGUAGAGACUUUUUUCUAGAAUACAGAUAUUUAAUACUUAUUAAUGAAAGAACUGUCAUAUGUAAAGACCUAUGAAAAAUGAAGUAUAAAACUUGGUUCUUGUUUUUUCAGAUUUUCUAGAUAGGAACAUAAAGCACACAUACUAUAGGUUGAGCACCCCUAGUCUGAAAUUCAAAAUGCUCUAAAAUCUGAAUUUUUUUGAACACUAAAACAUGUUGCCACAAUGCAAAACUCCACACCAGACCUGUGAUGGGUCACACUCAAAACAUUAUAAAUGAUUAUCAGAAGCAUUUAAAGUGAGAGUUGGGAAUGAUGUUGAUGCCAAACCACCACAGUUUGUCCUCGUGGGUGGUGGUGAAUGACACCUUUGCUUUGUGAUAGUUCAGUGUACAAAAACUUGGUUUUAUGCAGAAAAUUAUGAAAAGUAUUAUGCAAAAAUACCUCACUCUGUAUGCAUAAGCUACAUAUGAAACAUAAAUGAAUUUUGUGUUUACACUUGGGUCACAUUCCCAAAAUGUCUCAUUCUAUUACAACUAUUCCGAAAUCCAAAACACUUCUGGUACCAAGCUUUUCAGAUAACUGACAGACACUUAAGUUAUGGCUACAAAUAAAAGUGUUGUCAAUGAAAGUCUUCCCAAGGACAUACAGGUCUAACAGAAAAAUAUUAUAGACUAUAAUUUCAAAGAAAGGUUAUUUGAGCCCAACAGAAAAACUUUGUAGAAUGGGGACAUGAUCUUGGACUUUAGGCAAUUAAAUUUUGGCAUGGGGGAUUAUUUCAGGGAAAGAAAAUACUUGUAUUGAGGCUCGCUGUCUUUGUAAGGGGAGAGCCAUCUUAUAUUUGGACUGAAAUAAUGAUGGCAAGAGAAAAGGAAAGGGCUUUCAACAUCAUGAAAUUAGAUCUGCUGAUGUAAAUUAGUACUGCUGUGUCCUUUCUUACACUGAUCUUUUGUACAUGAAUGUCCACCUAUCUGCUAGGUGUCUAAAAGUGGAAUUACUAGGUCAUUGAAUAUACAUGUUUGACCUUAGUAGAAUCUGCCAAGCAGUUUUCCAGAAGAGGUUAUUGUAUCAAUUUAUAGUCCUAUCAGAAGUAUUUCCAUUGCUUCAUACCUUUGCUAUCAGUGUUGCCAAUUUUUAAAAUGUUUAGUCAUUCUGGUAAGGGUGUGGUGAUAUCUCAUUAUUUUGCAUUUCACUGAUGACUAAAACUUGAGCACCUUUUCAUAUGGAUAUCUUCAUUUAGAUAUUUUGCAAAUUAUGUUUUCAGGUGCCUUGCCCAUUUUUACAAAUGGGUUAUGUUUUUCUUGGUUAUUUGUAGGAGCUCUUUAUUCAGAAUAUAAGCCUUUUUCUUUUUUUGAUAAAUGCAUUACAGAUAUUUUUCCUUCUUUUAUGGUUAGUAUUUGACUACCUGAUCACCUUUUGAUGACCAGAAAUUUUAAUUAAAUCCAUGUUAUUAUAUUAGUUUUUCCUAUUAUGGUUCUGCCUUUUGUGUCUUCACAAAUCAUUGCCUAACCUACAAAUUAAGGUAGAAUCUUAAAAGUAUCACUCCUCUGACUCAUGUCUCUCCAGCUCCACAUCCCCAGAAAGGAAAACUCCUCACCAGUUAUGAUAAAUUUUAACCUUCAUUUGAGCCUUGAGUAAAAAAAAAAAAAAAAAGCAUGACAGGAAAACAGGCACUGGGGAGUGUUCUCUAUUCACACGCUCUACCAUGUCUGUAUGUGUGUCUGGAAAGGUGUGGGCCUGUGCCUUACGGGCCAGGUGCAGCCCAAGGCUACAUGGUUGGUGCUUAUCUUUUAACAGGAUGAAAAUCAAAUAAUUACAUUGAAUAGUGCUCCCCAAAAUACUAUAUCAGUAAGUAUGCAUUAUUAAAAAAAAAAAAAGUCAUUAAAUAAUCAGCUGAAAGGCUGGGGUUGUGGCUCAGUGGUAGAGUGCUUGCCUAGUACAUGUGAGACCCUGCAUUCGAUCCUCAGCAAAUAAAUAGAUAGAUAAAUAAAGGUAAUGUAUCCAACUAUAACUAAAAAUAAAUAUUUAAAAAAUAAUCAACUUAAAUUAUUAUUUUCCAGCGUAUUACAGCAUAGUAAUACACUUGGACAAACCUGGCCACAGUAGUGAUAAUUCAGUAUAUAAAACUUUCAACAUUUUAUGUGAACCAAGAUUAAAAACAAAUUCCAUGAUAGCUGAAUUUUGCUGAUUAAAAAAAAAAAAAAUCUGAUAGCUUUUGACAAUGACUGUCACUGGCCAUCUCUCACCAGAAAAGCUUAACAUGUUUUUCUUCAGAUAUGCUGUCAAGCAAAGAGCCUUAAGGCCAGUGGAGACUGAAUGACGGGAAAAAGGGACAUAAGGUCAAAGAGAUUGUUUUUGAAAUAACUGAGAUGUCUAUUUUUAAUUCUUUGCAUAUAGCACAUUAAGUGUCAAUAGAGAAUUUUAAAUGUCUAAUGCUAAAAUGUUUUUGGUGUCUCCUUAAUGUAGCUAGUAGGUUCUCUCAAAGCUCUAAUGAUAUUGAUACACAUACAUACAUACAUACACACAUACACACACACACUAGUUUUAUUAUGCUUAAUAUCACACACACAAAAAAACUAGGAUGUCAAAAGAGCUAACAGUAUCAAACUGUCAAACCCUAGAAGCUAAACUUGAAAGCUCUUAGCUUUCACUUUGCUUUGGAAAUUCUAUGGCUUCAGUAUUCUUUUCUGUUCUACCACAAUGCUGUUAUUUUUAUUUGACUGAAGAAAAUGUACUUUAAAUUAAUAUCAACCCCUAGGUAAAGAAAAACAUUUGGCUUCUACAGGCAAUAUUCUUUGGAGAUAACAUGUUUGUCAUUCAUUACUGUCCAAAAAGACAAGAAAAGAAAUAAAAACAAGAUUUAAAUGGAUUUUGGUUUCUGUUUCACUGAUUAGAACUGACACCAGCCUUCAGAGAAUUAGACUUCUGGUAGGCAGACUUGGUUAAUUCUCAGUUGCUUUUAUUAAGC